UAGGGAAUCUUCCGCAAUGGACGCAAGUCUGACGGAGCAACGCCGCGUGAGUGAAGAAGGAUUUAGGUUCGUAAAACUCUGUUGUUAGAGAAGAACAGCGCAUAGAGUAACUGUUAUGCGUGUGACGGUAUCUAACCAGAAAGCCACGGCUAACUACGUGCCAGCAGCCGCGGUAAUACGUAGGUGGCAAGCGUUGUCCGGAUUUAUUGGGCGUAAAGCGAGCGCAGGCGGUCAAUUAAGUCUGAUGUGAAAGCCCCCGGCUCAACCGGGGAGGGUGAUUGGAAACUGGUUGACUUGAGUGCAGAAGAGAAGAGUGGAAUUCCAUGUGUAGCGGUGAAAUGCGUAGAUAUAUUGAGGAACACCAGUGGCGAAGGCGACUCUCUGGUCUGUAACUGACGCUGAGGCUCGAAAGCGUGGGUAGCAAACAGG
RNAcentral lists this ribosomal RNA (429 nucleotides) under Bacteroidota bacterium. Its description in RNAcentral is "Bacteroidetes bacterium partial 16S ribosomal RNA". It matches the Rfam family "Bacterial small subunit ribosomal RNA", at positions 355 to 776 of the family's 1533-position model. Lineage: Bacteria; Pseudomonadati; Bacteroidota. The record is from RNAcentral.